GAUGAACGCUAGCGGCAGGCCUAACACAUGCAAGUCGAGGGGUAGAACACUUCGGUGUUUGAGACCGGCGCACGGGUGCGUAACGCGUAUGCAAUCUACCUUGUACAGGGGAAUAGCCCAGAGAAAUUUGGAUUAAUGCCCCAUAGUAUAUAACCUUCGCAUGUUGGUUAUAUUAAAGUUUCAACGGUACAAGAUGAGCAUGCGUCCCAUUAGUUAGUUGGUAAGGUAACGGCUUACCAAGACGAUGAUGGGUAGGGGUCCUGAGAGGGAGAUCCCCCCACACUGGUACUGAGACACGGACCAGACUCCUACGGGAGGCAGCAGUGAGGAAUAUUGGUCAAUGGUCGCAAGACUGAACCAGCCAUGCCGCGUGCAGGAAGACGGUCCUAUGGAUUGUAAACUGCUUUUUAUACAGGAAGAAACCCUCCCACGUGUGGGAGCUUGACGGUACUGUAGGAAUAAGGAUCGGCUAACUCCGUG
Molecule: ribosomal RNA, 480 nt
Filed under: uncultured bacterium
Lineage: Bacteria
Description: bacterial SSU rRNA
Rfam family: Bacterial small subunit ribosomal RNA
Source: RNAcentral